UCCUCAAGGAAAAAAAAAAAAGUAUUUCUCAAGUAAUGUUGUAAACUGUACACGGGAUGGGAACUGAUUAUUAUUAAGGUUAAAAUGAACUGAUGUAUACUAUCGCAUAUAAGGCAGUUUUUAUAAUAAUAAUAAUAGGGCUGCUGCAACAACUAAUUGAUAAAAUCGACAAUAAUCGAUAAUGAAAAUCAUGGACAACGAUUGUCAUUAUCGAUUAGUCACGUCUGCCCACCGUUCACAGAAUACGUCCGCCAGUCGCGCCAAAUUACAGCAACGAAUAAUGCACUUACUAUGGACAAAAUGCAUCUAAAAAUAGUGGAGGAAACAGAGCGAGCUGUUGCGGGAAAGUUGAAACUGAUUGGGCGAUUACAUGAGACAUGAGACUUUUCAAGAUGACACAUAAGAGCAUGAGAGAGAGAGAACUGACUGAAGAGACAGACUGAGGGGAGAGAUAGCGAGGCGAGGGACCAGCAGAUGGCAGGCUGGCUUGGAUUGGUCAUGGUUGGACGAGCCAUUGAGCUGACCUCAGAUGGCAUGAACUGUAUCCAAAGGAAAGAGAACAGGCAAGACAGGAAGACGCUUCAGUUCCCUUAACCCCUGCUUCCUGAAAAGAGACAUCCAAGAAGACACAGGCCGUAUAAUGCCGAGGGUCUGUGUUCUAUCAGGUCCUCUCCCACUCUAGACACUGAAGGGCUGUCAAUCGACACGGCGGGUCACGCAGGUGC
This is a long non-coding RNA of Megalobrama amblycephala (Wuchang bream), 725 nucleotides long. RefSeq lists it as uncharacterized. NCBI's taxonomy places the organism in Eukaryota, Metazoa, Chordata, Actinopteri, Cypriniformes, Xenocyprididae. The record is from RefSeq and is a predicted model, not a curated record. The transcript is spliced from 4 exons.